RNAcentral lists this long non-coding RNA (978 nucleotides) under Monodelphis domestica (gray short-tailed opossum). Its description in RNAcentral is "lncRNA (ENSMODG00000034665.2)". Lineage: Eukaryota; Metazoa; Chordata; Mammalia; Didelphimorphia; Didelphidae. The record is from RNAcentral.
UUAUCUUCCUUCUUAGAAUCAUAUUAUAUUAGUUCCAAGACAGAAGAGGGGUAAGGGCUAAGCACUGGGGGGUGGGGGUGGGGUGGGAUAUUAAGUGACUUGCCCAAGGUCACACAGCCAAGAAGUAUCUGAAACCAAAUUUGAACCCAGGAUCUCCCAUCUCUAGGCUUGGCUCUCAAUCCAUGGAACUAUCUAUCAGUGAUAUGAAGACAAAAAUGAAACAGUGCCUGCCCUCAGGAAACCUACAUUCUAUCAGGAGAGAAUUUUAUUUACUAGUGUGGAUGAGUAAAUUGAAGAAAACCUGCAACAGAGGCAAUGGAUGAAGAUUUGCAGAAGCUGUCAAUCAAGGAGCAUUCCGGAAGAGAAUGUGACUGGGAGAAGACAGUUGAAGGGAGGCAUCCAAAUUGUUGGAGUUCUCUUUCUCCUGAGACAGGAAGGAAAAGUCAUCCCAUAUGACAAAGAGCAUUUUUUUUGGAGAGGAUUAAAAAAGUCAACCCAACUGAUUGAUACAUUGAAAAAGUGCAAAAACAAGUAACGUGUAAUACCUGUGGACCUCUCACCUCUAUGAAGAGUAGAUCAUGGGUGUCUUCUCAUAAAAACAAAAUGUUUUGAUAAUUGUUUUUUCAUAUCCUUUGACAAUUUAUCUAAUAACGAAUGCCUAGGAGGCAAUCCAAUCAUCCUCCAGACUUAAUUGGUCUAGGAGAAGCUAGGUAUCUUAGUGGAGAGAGAGCCAGGCUGGGAGAUGGAAGUCCCGAGUUCAAGUAUGACCUAAAACACUUCUUACCUGUAUGAUUCUGGGCAAGUCACUUGACUCCAAUUGCCUAGUCCUUACUGCUCAUCUGCUUUGGAAUGGAUAUUUAGUAUAAAGUCUAAGACAGAAGGCAAGGGUUUAAAAAAAAAAAAAGGCUUAACUGGUCUAGGGCAAAGGUGUCAAGCUAUACUACCAAUAAAGCCCAACAGAAAGAGAGAGAAAUUCCA